RNAcentral lists this ribosomal RNA (478 nucleotides) under uncultured bacterium. RNAcentral's name for it is "partial 16S ribosomal RNA". It matches the Rfam family "Bacterial small subunit ribosomal RNA", at positions 28 to 523 of the family's 1533-position model. The record is from RNAcentral.
GACGAACGCUGGCGGCGUGCUUAACACAUGCAAGUCGAACGGUAAGGCCCUUCGGGGUACACGAGUGGCGAACGGGUGAGUAACACGUGGGUGAUCUGCCCUGCACUUCGGGAUAAGCCUGGGAAACUGGGUCUAAUACCGGAUAGGACUCCGGACUGCAUGGUCUGGGGUGGAAAGCUUUUGCGGGGUGGGAUGGGCCCGCGGCCUAUCAGGUUUUUGGUGGGGGGAUGGCCUACCAAGGCGACGACGGGUAGCCGGCCUGAGGGGGUGACCGGCCACACUGGGACUGAGAUACGGCCCAGACUCCUACGGGAGGCAGCAGUGGGGAAUAUUGCACAAUGGGCGCAAGCCUGAUGCAGCGACGCCGCGUGAGGGAUGACGGCCUUCGGGUUGUAAACCUCUUUCAGCAUCGACGAAGCGAAAGUGACGGUAGGUGCAGAAGAAGGACCGGCCAACUACGUGCCAGCCGCCGCCGUAA